Bufo bufo (common toad) is the source of this 299-nucleotide small nucleolar RNA. Lineage: Eukaryota; Metazoa; Chordata; Amphibia; Anura; Bufonidae. The record is from RefSeq and is a predicted model, not a curated record.
GCUGUGUGAUGAGUCCAAGGCGAAUGUGACUCCUUUGUCCUCUGGGUUUGACUUCUACUCAUUGCCCUCGGUCUGUAAUCUUGGUGGCUGUGCAGAAGGUUCUCGCUGCCGCUGUAAGGCCAGACCUACAUUGGCAUUUGUUGCUGGUCUUUCUCGGUUAACUUCUGCUCAAGAGUGUGUUGAAGAAUCUGAGAGGACCUACAGGAUCAACCGUGGUCUGGAGAGGGCCGAGCAGAGGUCUUUACUCAAUAAGAGGUGAUGGGGAGACAUGAGCACAUAUCUUUGGUAAUCUGACAGCA